Non-coding RNA from Ictidomys tridecemlineatus (thirteen-lined ground squirrel), 72 nucleotides. The record is from Rfam. NCBI's taxonomy places the organism in Eukaryota, Metazoa, Chordata, Mammalia, Rodentia, Sciuridae.
AGGGAUGUGGCUCAGUAGUAAAGUGCUUGCCUAGCAUGCAUGAGGCACUGGGUUCCAUCCCCAGCACCACCC